This 468-nucleotide ribosomal RNA is filed under the name uncultured bacterium. RNAcentral's name for it is "partial 16S ribosomal RNA". It matches the Rfam family "Bacterial small subunit ribosomal RNA", at positions 28 to 507 of the family's 1533-position model. The record is from RNAcentral.
GACGAACGCUGGCGGCGUGCUUAACACAUGCAAGUCGAACGGAAAGGCCCUGCUUUUGUGGGGUGCUCGAGUGGCGAAAGGGUGAGUAACACGUGAGUAACCUGCCCUUGACUUUGGGAUAACUUCAGGAAACUGGGGCUAAUACCGGAUAGGAGCUCCUGCUGCAUGGUGGGGGUUGGAAAGUUUCGGCGGUUGGGGAUGGACUCGCGGCUUAUCAGCUUGUUGGUGGGGUAGUGGCUUACCAAGGCUUUGACGGGUAGCCGGCCUGAGAGGGUGACCGGCCACAUUGGGACUGAGAUACGGCCCAGACUCCUACGGGAGGCAGCAGUGGGAAAUAUUGCACAAUGGGCGGAAGCCUGAUGCAGCAACGCCGCGUGCGGGAUGACGGCCUUCGGGUUGUAAACCGCUUUCGCCUGUGACGAAGCGUGAGUGACGGUAAUGGGUAAAGAAGCACCGGCUAACUACGUG